GUGGUGUGCAACAGGAAGAAUUUCCUUGAAAAUUUUUUCCUCCAGCAAGUUCACUGGACAAGUGGGCAAGCAUUCUUGCAGAGCCUGCUGCAAAUAUUCCUCUUCGAACUUGUCGCGCAAAUUCUCCAAGGCAUUGAACAGAAUUAUUAGAAAGGAUAUUUUUAAUGUCGACGAGUAAUUUUCGGUGCAAUCUUCGAGGACCUCGUCGUUAUCCGAGAAGGAAUCAUCCAGCAAAGAUGUGAACGAACCCUCGUUCUCCAUCUCCUGCAAGUUCACAAAAUUUACGUCUGUUCAGAUAUUCCUGAAAGUUCACGUGUUCGCGACACGUGACAUGAUUUACGUACGAAUGUUUCUUACGAAACGAUCGAAAGACACGUCAGCGUCAAUCGACACGUUGCAUGUUUUUUGCUACAACGGACGUUUCAAAAGAAAAUCGCUCGAAACGAUGAGCACAAGUUUCGUUUGAAUUGUUAAACUAUUCCCCUGCUCGAAUAUAAAAAUGUCUCAUAAUAUUCAUGAUAAGUUUCAUUUCAAUUAUGAAGCUAUUCCCUUUUUUGAAUAUAAAAAUGUCUCAUAAUGUUCAUAGUAAUUUAUUCAUAAUAAUUUUCACUCCGUAAAUUGGCUACUAGUAACUAAUGAUGAAUUGUACGAGUCACUUGGGCCCAAUUUUAUGGGUAAAUUCAAUUUAUAAAUGAGAAAAAAAAAUGAGCUGUACUGUACGAUAGGAAAUGCUUCUCUUCCUAGAUACUCCUUCGGUCAGCAUACGUUAUUCGUUAUCAACGUCUAUUUAUAUGUCUACGUACCAGUUAUGUAAUUUCCGUGAAUGAAGAACGAAUGUACAUUUCGCCAAUGUAUUAUGCAGACCUAUUGCAAUAUUAUUCAUAGGAACCCUUUUGUUUAAAUGCACAUACAGAAUACAUUUGUUUAAUUGUAAGAUUUUUAAUGUACGCUAUACAUGUUUUUUUUAUGUUUCUCACGAUUCAUUAAUAACAUUGUACGUAUAUGUAAUAUUUAUUUACAUUCAUAUUUCUUUUUAUUUUACUAUUCUUAUAAUAAAUGUUAUUUCCUUUA
Molecule: long non-coding RNA, 1071 nt
Organism: Hylaeus anthracinus
Lineage: Eukaryota; Metazoa; Arthropoda; Insecta; Hymenoptera; Colletidae
Exons: 2
Source: RefSeq, a predicted model, not a curated record